CUACGAGGGUAUCUAAUCCUCUUCGCUACCCAUGCUUUCGCACCUCAGUGUCAGUAAUGAUCGAUCAUUACUGACACUGAGGUGCGAAAGCAUGGGUAGCGAAGAGGAUUAGAUACCCUCGUAGUCCAUGCCGUAAACGAUGUGUGCUAGACGUUGGGAAUUUAUUUUUCAGUGUCGCAGCAAAAGCGUUAAGCACACCGCCUGGGGAGUACGACCGCAAGGUUAAAACUCAAAUGAAUUGACGGGGACCCGCACAAGUAGUGGAGCAUGUGGUUUAAUUCGAAGAUACGCGCAGAACCUUACCAACACUUGACAUGUUCGUCGCGACUCUAAGAGAUUAGAGUUUUCGGUUCGGCCGGACGAAACACAGGUGCUGCAUGGCUGUCGUCAGCUCGUGUCGUGAGAUGUUGGGUUAAGUCCCGCAACGAGCGCAACCCUUACUUUUAGUUGCUACCAUUUAGUUGGGCACUCUAGAAGAACUGCCGGUGAUAAGCUGGAGGAAGGUGGGGAUGACGUCAAGUCCUCAUGGCCCUUAUGUGUUGGGCUACACACGUGCUACAAUGGUAUUUACAGUGGGAUGCAAAGAGGCAACUCCUAGCCAACCCCCAAAAAAUACCUCAGUUCGGAUUGUACUCUGCAACUCGAGUACAUGAAGCUGGAAUUACUAGUAAUCGCGAAUCAGCGUGCCGCGGUGAAUACGUUCCCGGGUCUUGUACACACCGCCCGUCACACCAUGGAAGUUGGUUACACCUUAAGGCAAAGUGUAAAACCUUUGACUACGGUACGAUCAGCGACUGGGGUGAAGUCGUAACAAGGUAGCCGUAGGGGAACCUGCGGCUG
This 840-nucleotide ribosomal RNA is filed under the name marine metagenome. RNAcentral describes it as "bacterial SSU rRNA". It matches the Rfam family "Bacterial small subunit ribosomal RNA", at positions 597 to 1520 of the family's 1533-position model. The record is from RNAcentral.